This 484-nucleotide ribosomal RNA is filed under the name uncultured bacterium. RNAcentral's name for it is "bacterial SSU rRNA". It matches the Rfam family "Bacterial small subunit ribosomal RNA", at positions 30 to 502 of the family's 1533-position model. The record is from RNAcentral.
AUUGAACGCUGGUGGCAUGCUUAACACAUGCAAGUCGAACGGUAACAGGUCUAGCUUGCUAGAUGCUGACGAGUGGCGGACGGGUGAGUAACGCGUGGGAAUCUGCCUUCUAGUGGGGGAUAGCCCGGAGAAAUCCGGAUUAAUACCGCAUACGCCCUACGGGGGAAAGCCGGGGAGUCUUCGGACCUGGCGCUAGUAGAUGAGCCCGCGUGAGAUUAGCUUGUUGGUGGGGUAAUGGCCUACCAAGGCAACGAUCUCUAGCUGGUCUGAGAGGACGAUCAGCCACACUGGGACUGAGACACGGCCCAGACUCCUACGGGAGGCAGCAGUGGGGAAUAUUGGACAAUGGGCGAAAGCCUGAUCCAGCAAUGCCGCGUGUGUGAAGAAGGCCUGAGGGUUGUAAAGCACUUUCAAUCGUGAAGAAAAGUUGCAGGCUAAUACCCUGUGACCUUGACGUUAACGAUACAAGAAGCACCGGCUAACU